GACAGAGGGUGCAAACGUUGCUCGGAAUCACUGGGCGUAAAGGGCGCGUAGGCGGACAAGUAAGUCGGGCGUGAAAUCCCUAGGCUCAACCUAGGAACUGCACUCGAAACUGCAUGUCUUGAGUACCGGAGAGGAAAGCGGAAUACCUGGUGUAGAGGUGAAAUUCGUAGAUAUCAGGUGGAACACCAGUGGCGAAGGCGGCUUUCUGGACGGUAACUGACGCUGAGGCGCGAAAGCGUGGGGAGCAAACAGGAUUAGAAACCCCAGUAGUCC
RNAcentral lists this ribosomal RNA (273 nucleotides) under uncultured bacterium. Its description in RNAcentral is "partial 16S ribosomal RNA". It matches the Rfam family "Bacterial small subunit ribosomal RNA", at positions 524 to 796 of the family's 1533-position model. The record is from RNAcentral.